This 266-nucleotide long non-coding RNA is filed under the name Triticum aestivum (bread wheat). RNAcentral describes it as "long non-coding RNA (TAES_LNC025941)". Lineage: Eukaryota; Viridiplantae; Streptophyta; Magnoliopsida; Poales; Poaceae. The record is from RNAcentral.
AGGGUAUAGAUGCAUUAUUAUUUGUUGCGUUUUCUACUGGUUGGUGUAUCUUGUAUUGCAACGAAACAGAUUUGUUGAUUCUCUCAUUUUGCUGCAGUUCUGGUGAUGGUUAGGCUGGUUCAGCUUUCACCUGAAAACUGUUUAUCUCAGAUUGACAAUGAGCUUUCACCUGAAAACUGUUUAUGUCAGAUUGAUAAUGAUAUUCUGCGAGUACUUUGUUUACAGUAGGAUCUGAGCAAUAUCACACUGCCUAUUUUUAUCAGAAC